Molecule: non-coding RNA, 643 nt
Organism: Paramuricea clavata
Lineage: Eukaryota; Metazoa; Cnidaria; Anthozoa; Malacalcyonacea; Plexauridae
Source: the annotation of a GenBank genome assembly
CUGUGCUGAUGGAUUAACAAGAGCCAUUGGCAGAUAGGUUUGUUAACCCAUUUACUGGCAGUACCCUGUACCACUGACGAGUAAAAUUUUCUGGCGCUGGACAAGGGAAGGGCGCAUUGCCAGCUAAUGCAUGGGUUAAACCACCGUGGUUAAACAUAAGAUUUAAUGCUCCAGGAAAUGUAAACAAACUAUCAGUGUGACAUCCCAGUUUAUAUAUUUAUACACUCGGAAUAUUGAUUUCUCGGUAAAUACAAAAUUAUUUUAAAGUAUAACAACCAGCGAAGACGUAAGCCACUAACUACCCUGCGCGGCUGCGCGCAGACUAUAUAAUGACAUAUAUAUAUUAUCCGUCCGGUCCGUCCGUCGCCAUCCGUCCGUCAUUCAUCCGUCCGUCCGUGUCCCCGUUUUAUCCUAACUCGUUUUUACUACACAAAGUUUGCAUAAUUAAGGCAGUGCGGUUCGUCAUGAUCAACAUUUUCAAAAGCGGCCAAUUAGACCAGGGGUUAAAGGGCAAUGACAAUGACAUGCAGGUGACAUUUAACAUUGUGUCUCACUAAUUAAAAUUUGCGUGUUUAUUAAUAAUAAUGUUUAUGAAAGAAAGCAAAAAUAUAUACAAGACAAUCUCACAUGUGAAAUUGUUUCA